GAUGAACGCUGGCGGCGUGCCUAAUACAUGCAAGUCGAGCGGACAGACGAGGAGCUUGCUCCUCUGGCGUUAGCGGCGGACGGGUGAGUAACACGUGGAUAACCUACCUAUAAGACUGGGAUAACUUCGGGAAACCGGAGCUAAUACCGGAUAAUAUGUUGAAUCGCAUGGUUCAACAGUGAAAGACGGUCUUGCUGUCACUUAUAGAUGGAUCCGCGCCGCAUUAGCUAGUUGGUAAGGUAACGGCUUACCAAGGCAACGAUGCGUAGCCGACCUGAGAGGGUGAUCGGCCACACUGGAACUGAGACACGGUCCAGACUCCUACGGGAGGCAGCAGUAGGGAAUCUUCCGCAAUGGGCGAAAGCCUGACGGAGCAACGCCGCGUGAGUGAAGAAGGUCUUCGGAUCGUAAAACUCUGUUAUUAGGGAAGAACAAAUGUGUAAGUAACUAUGCACGUCUUGACGGUACCUAAUCAGAAAGCCACGGCUAACUACGUG
This 497-nucleotide ribosomal RNA is filed under the name uncultured bacterium. Its description in RNAcentral is "partial 16S ribosomal RNA". It matches the Rfam family "Bacterial small subunit ribosomal RNA", at positions 28 to 507 of the family's 1533-position model. The record is from RNAcentral.